This 788-nucleotide ribosomal RNA is filed under the name uncultured archaeon. Its description in RNAcentral is "bacterial SSU rRNA". It matches the Rfam family "Archaeal small subunit ribosomal RNA", at positions 85 to 876 of the family's 1478-position model. The record is from RNAcentral.
ACGGCUCAGUAACACGUGGAUAACAUGCCCUAAGGUGGGGGAUAAUCUCGGGAAACUGAGGGUAAUACCCCAUAGGUCUAUUUUGCUGGAAUGCUAAUAGGCCGAAAACUCCGGUGCCUUAGGAUUGGUCUGCGGUCUAUCAGGCUGUAGUGGGUGUAAUGGACCCACUAGCCCGUGACGGAUAUGGGCCUUGAGAGAGGGAGCCCAGAGAUGGACUCUGAGACAUGAGUCCAGGCCCUACGGGGCGCAGCAGUCGCGAAAACUUCGCAAUGGGGGCAACCCCGACGAGGGAAUUCCAAGUGCUAGCACUUUGUGUUAGCUGUUCUUCUGUCUAAAAAACAGGAGGAGUAAGGGGCGGGUAAGACGGGUGCCAGCCGCCGCGGUAAUACCCGCGCCCCAAGUGGUGGUCGAUAUUAUUGAGCCUAAAACGUCCGUAGCCGGUCUUCUAAAUCCUUGGGUAAAUCGGGCAGCUUAACUGUCCGAAGUCCGGGGAGACUGGGAGACUUGGGACCGGGAGAGGUCAGAGGUACUUCUGGGGUAGGGGUAAAAUCCUGUAAUCCUGGAAGGACCACCGGUGGCGAAGGCGUCUGACUAGAACGGAUCCGACGGUGAGGGACGAAGCCCUGGGGCGCAAACGGGAUUAGAUACCCCGGUAGUCCAGGGUGUAAACGCUGCGGGCUUGGUGUUGGGGGUCCUUAGUGGGCGCCCAGUGCCGGAGAGAAGUUGUUAAGCCUGCUGCUUGGGGAGUAUGUCCGCAAGGAUGAAACUUAAAGGAAUUGGCGGGGGAG